GCUCUUUUGUCAGGGAAGAAAAGGUUCUGGCUAAUAUCCAGAGCUGCUGACUCGCUCCCUGAAGUAUAAGCACCGGCUAACUACGUGCCAGCAGCCGCGGUAAUACGUAGGGUGCAAGCGUUAAUCGGAAUUACUGGGCGUAAAGCGUGCGCAGGCGGUUUUAUAAGUCUGAUGUGAAAUCCCCGGGCUCAACCUGGGAACUGCAUUGGAGACUGUAAGGCUAGAGUGUGUCAGAGGGGGGUAGAAUUCCACGUGUAGCAGUGAAAUGCGUAGAUAUGUGGAGGAAUACCGAUGGCGAAGGCAGCCCCCUGGGAUAACACUGACGCUCAUGCACGAAAGCGUGGGGAGCAAACAGGAUUAGAUACCCUGGUAGUCCACGCCCUAAACGAUGUCAAACUAGUUGUCGGGUCUUAAUUGACUUGGUAACGCAGCUAACGCGUGAAGUUGACCGCCUGGGGAGUACGGUCGCAAGAUUAAAACUCAAAGGAAUUGACGGGGACCCGCACAAGCGGUGGAUGAUGUGGAUUAAUUC
This 532-nucleotide ribosomal RNA is filed under the name uncultured archaeon. Its description in RNAcentral is "bacterial SSU rRNA". It matches the Rfam family "Bacterial small subunit ribosomal RNA", at positions 430 to 952 of the family's 1533-position model. The record is from RNAcentral.